This is a long non-coding RNA of Eriocheir sinensis (Chinese mitten crab), 652 nucleotides long. RefSeq lists it as uncharacterized. The record is from RefSeq and is a predicted model, not a curated record. The transcript has 2 exons. Lineage: Eukaryota; Metazoa; Arthropoda; Malacostraca; Decapoda; Varunidae.
CCCAAUUAGAGUUUCUGGAUGUCAUGAAAGCAAGUUGUCCAUUUGGGAAGUCUACAGAAGAAGCUCCCUUUGUACAUUAAGCAAGUAAACCUCCUCUUUGUUCUGAGAUGUCAAGGAAGGGAGGACAUGUUAAAAGUAAGGUCCCCAAUAAGAGUUUCUGGAUGUCAUGAAAGCAAGUUGUCCAUUUGGGAAGUCUACAGAAGAAGCUCCCUUGGUACAUUAAGCAAGUAAACCUCCUCUUUGUUCUGAGAUGUCAAGGAAGGGAGGACAUGUUAAAAGUAAGGUCUCCAAUUAUAGUUUCUGAAUGUCAUGAAAGCGAGCGAUGAUUGAGGGCAGAAGAGUAAAACCUGACUACUCAUAUUUAUUAAGUGUGUUUCUUUUGCAUCAGAUUCACCUACAAAUGAGUGAAACUGAGAUAACAGACACACAUGCAGAUUCUGAGGUGGUGGUGUUCUUUUGGUAUUAGUGGUAAAGAACAAGUUAUUCAUAUACUUGACUAUUCUGAGAUUGUUGUACAUGGCUUGGGAGUUCAUUGAUGCCUCCCCAGAACUUAAUUUUACCCUCUCUGUACUAAUGAUUAUAUGACUUGAAUAUAAACAUGACAUAGUGUUGUCCCAUAAAUAUGAAUACAAGUUUAUACCUCUCCUCCUUC